Patella vulgata (common limpet) is the source of this 1010-nucleotide long non-coding RNA. RefSeq lists it as uncharacterized. The transcript is spliced from 2 exons. NCBI's taxonomy places the organism in Eukaryota, Metazoa, Mollusca, Gastropoda, Patellidae. The record is from RefSeq and is a predicted model, not a curated record.
CUCAUCCAUUGCUAAAAAAAUGGCGCCCAUCUGAUCGCAUCGCGCGGUCAAGAGAUAUUUUAUUAGAUCAAUAUAUCGUACAGUGUGAAGAUUCAGAAAAUGUCAAAGCAUUAUGUCUCAAGAAAUAACUAUAAAUGUGAUGUUUGUGGUAAAUCAUUUACCACUAGUGGUCAUCAACAGAGACACACCAGAAUUCAUACUGGUGAAAAACCCUUUUCAUGUAAUGUUUGUUGUAAAUCAUUUACACAAAGUAGUGGUAUCAACACAUGAAAUUCCAUACUGCAGAAAAAAAUCUUUCUUGUGAUGUUUGUAGUAAAUAUUUUACUACUAGCAGUGAUUAACAUAAAGACACCAGACUCCAUACUGGGGAAAAAACCCUUUCUUGUGAUGUUUGUAGUAAAUAUUUUACUACUAGCAGUGAUUAACAUAAAGACACCAGACUCCAUACUGGGGAAAAAACCCUUUCUUGUGAUGUUUGUAGUUAAUAUUUUACUACUAGCAGUGAUUAACAUAAAGACACCAGACUCCAUACUGGGGAAAAAACCCUUUCUUGUGAUGUUUGUAGUUAAUAUUUUACUACUAGCAGUGAUUAACAUAAAGACACCAGACUCCAUACUGGGGAAAACCCCUGUUCUUGUAAAUAUUUUACCACUUGUAAUGGUUUAUAUAAAUGUACAAAAACCGUCCUACUAUUCUGCACCGACUGGGCUAUUGAAGAUCAACAUGAAAUAAUCUACUCCCAUAUGAAAGGAAAACUAUUUUCAUGUGAUGUUUGUGAUAAAUCAUUUAUGGUCAACAGAAAUUUGUAUAAACAGAUGAAAAUUCCUCAGAAUAUAAAGAAAAUUAUUUAUUUACACAUCCAAAGUGUUGUAAGUUUUUGGUAUCUACUAGAGGGUUAUUUCUAUAAAAUAAAUAUUAAUAUGAUUUAUUUGAGCACGAAUGACAGUAAAAUUUAUCUAUAAAUAUGGUCUUAUUAUAUUAACAAGAAAAAUAAAAUCUGUACAAAAGGA